RNAcentral lists this ribosomal RNA (795 nucleotides) under uncultured bacterium. RNAcentral's name for it is "bacterial SSU rRNA". It matches the Rfam family "Bacterial small subunit ribosomal RNA", at positions 636 to 1421 of the family's 1533-position model. The record is from RNAcentral.
GGUCGCUAGAGGAUGGGAGGGGAGACUGGAAUUCUCGGUGUAGCAGUGAAAUGCGUAGAUAUCGAGAGGAACACCCGUGGCGAAGGCGAGUCUCUGGACCAUUCCUGACGCUGAGGCACGAAAGCCAGGGGAGCAAACAGGAUUAGAUACCCUGGUAGUCCUGGCCGUAAACGGUGCGCAUUUGCUGUGGGCGGAAUCGACCCCGCCCGUGGCGCAGCUAACGCGUUAAAUGCGCCGCCUGGGGAGUACGGUCGCAAGAUUAAAACUCAAAGAAAUUGACGGGGGCCUGCACAAGCGGUGGAGUAUGUGGCUUAAUUCGAUGCAACGCGAAGAACCUUACCUGGCCUUGACAUGCGCGUGGUAGAAGCGUGAAAGCGUGACGACUCCGCAAGGAGAGCGCGCACAGGUGCUGCAUGGCUGUCGUCAGCUCGUGUCGUGAGAUGUUGGGUUAAGUCCCGCAACGAGCGCAACCCUCGCGUCCUGUUGCGACCCGGCCGAGAGGCCGGAGCACUCUGGACGGACUGCCCCGCUCAAACGGGGAGGAAGGUGGGGAUGACGUCAAGUCAGUAUGGCCCUUACGGCCAGGGCUGCACACGUACUACAAUGCCCGGCACAGAGGGAAGCAAGGCGGCAACGCGGAGCAAAUCCCAAAAACCGGGCCCAGUUCAGAUUGUCGGCUGCAACUCGCCGGCAUGAAGCUGGAAUCGCUAGUAAUGGCGCAUCAGCUACGGCGCCGUGAAUACGUUCCCAGGCCUUGUACACACCGCCCGUCACAUCAUGAAAGCCGGUUGUACC